This 468-nucleotide ribosomal RNA is filed under the name uncultured bacterium. Its description in RNAcentral is "partial 16S ribosomal RNA". It matches the Rfam family "Bacterial small subunit ribosomal RNA", at positions 28 to 507 of the family's 1533-position model. The record is from RNAcentral.
GACGAACGCUGGCGGCGUGCUUAACACAUGCAAGUCGAACGGAAAGGCCCUGCUUUUGUGGGGUGCUCGAGUGGCGAACGGGUGAGUAACACGUGAGUAACCUGCCCUUGACUUUGGGAUAACUUCAGGAAACUGGGGCUAAUACCGGAUAGGAGCUCCUGCUGCAUGGUGGGGGUUGGAAAGUUUCGGCGGUUGGGGAUGGACUCGCGGCUUAUCAGCUUGUUGGUGGGGUAGUGGCUUACCAAGGCUUUGACGGGUAGCCGGCCUGAGAGGGUGACCGGCCGCCUUGGGACUGAGAUACGGCCCAGACUCCUACGGGAGGCAGCAGUGGGGAAUAUUGCACAAUGGGCGGAAGCCUGAUGCAGCAACGCCGCGUGCGGGAUGACGGCCUUCGGGUUGUAAACCGCUUUCGCCUGUGACGAAGCGUGAGUGACGGUAAUGGGUAAAGAAGCACCGGCUAACUACGUG